RNAcentral lists this unclassified non-coding RNA (313 nucleotides) under Hevea brasiliensis (rubber tree). Lineage: Eukaryota; Viridiplantae; Streptophyta; Magnoliopsida; Malpighiales; Euphorbiaceae. The record is from RNAcentral.
AUUAUAUAUAAAUAUUUGUAUAUAAAUAAAUAUUGCCCUUGUAUUUGGUAAAGUUUUUUCAUUGAUGAUUUCCUGUUAGAUGAGAUUUGCAGAAUUGCUUGCACAUGCUAGAAAUUGAUAAAGACUUCACGUCACCUGUUGAAAAUUUUCAACAUGUUUACACAUGAAUGACUGCUUAUCCUAUGCUGGUGGAGCUUUAAUUGUGUCCUGAAAGUCUAUCCAUGGGCUUGUGGCUAACUAGUUCUUUGAAGAAGAAUUUCUCUCACCUUAGUCCUGAACACCCUUAAUGAACAUUUAAGAUCCAGGCACUUAG